This 1126-nucleotide long non-coding RNA is filed under the name Oreochromis niloticus (Nile tilapia). RNAcentral describes it as "lncRNA (ENSONIG00000025250.2)". The record is from RNAcentral. Lineage: Eukaryota; Metazoa; Chordata; Actinopteri; Cichliformes; Cichlidae.
CUGCGAAUAUUGACUAUGAAGCUUUGAGAAGCUUUACCCGGGAUGACCUGAAGGAUCUCUUUCCAGGCCAUGAAAUUUCUUCCGGAGAAAGAAGCUUUGGAAUUUCAUAAUCCAACAGACUGCUGAACAAAAUGCCAACACUUGCCAUCGAAGCGAGAGUAACCCCUUAGGCUUUGUUGUGUCUGAAUGUCAGCCACAAACUUCCAGUCCCAUUUCCUACACUGCUCACAAAACAAUGAAAAUGCCAGACCCACCAGAGUAUGUGUUGUAUACAGAUUCAGAACUGGACAUGGUGCGCAGUCAGUACUUUGCAUUGCUUCACAGUGGAAAGGAAAAGGACUGUAAGAUGUCGAAGGAGCUCUGUUGCAGACUUAUAAGGAACACAGUCACCAGCAUGGUUGCAAUCCUUCGUGCUAGUCCCAUGGGGAAAGAAGUAGGAUACCCCUCCAAACUUGAAAUGAGAGCAAUGUCACAGAAGAUUGUCGACUAUUACCCUAUGUUAUGUGAUGCUGACACACACAUGCCAUAUGUGACCAUCUACACCAAACUGUACAAACGACUCCAAAAUAUGAAGUCUCCAAGGAGGAAACAGGGUUCCAUGCUGCAGCGAGGCAGGCCCAGGAAGAUUAUUUUCAGCUCAGACAACUUAGACAAUGAAACUGAAGGUGACUUAAGUGGCGAAGCAAGUGGUUCAAGUGACUAUACCAUACUUGACCUCAGCAAGGACAACUCAAAUGCAGAGAAAGCAUCAAAAUUCCAUCUACACUCUACUGUACCAACACAGUCAAACAAUAAUACCCUGGCUUCACCACUAUUAUCUAAGUCAGCCUCAUGCUCUGCACCCAGGGCUGCCAUAGGUCCACCAACUCCAGAUGACGAUGUUGCAGACCAUGACAGCCUGAAGAUGCAGCCAAGACAUUACAAAACCUUGAGCAACAUGUACAGGAAACCAAAUGCAAAACCCAACCAAAGUGACGUUGCUCAAAUUUUGGACCUGGAGUUUGAGGCCAGACGAGCUUUUAUUGAUGCAGAUGUUACAAGGGAAGAAGACAGGCCCACAAAAAUAUUUGAAGCAUACCCGUGCUUCAAAGAUAUUCGAAAUGUAAGCCUAGCUACCUUCAAUUAA